RNAcentral lists this ribosomal RNA (544 nucleotides) under Gegeneophis ramaswamii (Tenmalai caecilian). RNAcentral's name for it is "partial 16S ribosomal RNA". It matches the Rfam family "Bacterial large subunit ribosomal RNA", at positions 1816 to 2597 of the family's 2925-position model. Lineage: Eukaryota; Metazoa; Chordata; Amphibia; Gymnophiona; Indotyphlidae. The record is from RNAcentral.
CACCUCUAGCUAACAACAUAUAUUAGAGGCACUGCCUGCCCAGUGACUACGUUCAACGGCCGCGGUAUUCUGACCGUGCAAAGGUAGCAUAAUCACUUGUCUUUUAAAUUAAGACUAGUAUGAACGGCAACACGAAAGCCUAACUGUCUCCUUUAUCCAGUCAAUGAAAUUGAUCUUCUCGUGAAAAAGCGAGAAUACAUUAACAAGACGAGAAGACCCUAUGGAACUUUAAACACAUUAACCACUUUUUCACUUUACCUACUAUAUUAUAUAAAAAAUCUGGUAUACUGUUUUUGGUUGGGGUGACCAAGGAGAAAAAUAUAACCUCCAUGAACCACACUAAGACUAACAUAAUCAAAGUAUUAAAAUUUUAAAUUUAUGACCCAAUAAACUUGAUCAACGAACCAAGCUACCCUAGGGAUAACAGCGCAAUCUUCUCCAAGAGCCCAUAUCGCCAAGAAGGUUUACGACCUCGAUGUUGGAUCAGGAUUACCAGACAGUGCAGCCGCCGUCAAAGGUUUGUUUGUUCAACAAUUAAAAUCCU